GAGCCGGCAGAGCGCUGAGGAACUGGAACCCUGGGCGGAUUCUCUUCCCACCAGGGAAGCACCUAGAGAAGCUAUUUAGUGGAUGUCUUUCCCGAGGUAGACCGUAGGGGACGCUAUUCUGUGGGAGCGGUGCCAGGUCCUGGUGAGUCAAGAGAUGCGGCCAAGAGGGACGGAGAUGUCUCCCCGCUCCUUUCAACUGGGAGGCAGCUAUACAGUUCACGGGGAACCCCAAGUCUGAAUAUCCAGAAACUGGGAACUUGAAUAUCCCGAAGGCGUCUCCAGGCCAGCUGAGGCCAGGGGCGAAGACUGUCGAGACUGGAGUCUUGCAAAUCCGCCUGCCCUGCACCCAUCCUCCUCUCCUGGUCGUCCAAGGCUCGAGGGCUCAGUUGUUCUCCAUGGUUUCUUGAAUCCAGUCCAGGAAGUCUGGAGCUCCAACUGCCUUCUCCCCCAGGACCCCGGAGUUGCUGCAGGACACCCACCCCCGUCCUUCCCAGAGCAGGUCUCACCUGGCAGGAGCCCCGGCCCCCCUCCCACAGGCCGGCGCAGAGCAUGCUGUCGGAGAUGUGGCCUGGGUACGCCCAACGGCAGAGCCGGGGCUCCAGGAUUCUGAUGUUGGCACACUGCAGCGUCAGGGGAUACUCCACUGUUGGGAAGCAGGUCGGUAGAAGGUCAGCAGCUGUCUCCUCCCAACUCAGCACUCCCCCUCCCCCCACUUUCUGAAGACGGACCCACCGCCCCACAGCACGAGACUCUCCAGACUCUCCAAGACAGGAACAAGUGACAGAGCAACAGAAUCACAGCGUGGAGGAGAGACAGAUGGGGAGGAAGGGGAGAGGGCUGUAGAGGCAGAGAAAGAUGCAGAGGGCCAAGAGAUGAGAAGAGAUAGGUAUAAAACCCACACAGGGAAAAAGAGGGACCAUGGUGGGAGACAGAGACCACUGGAGGGGAAAGAGAACUCUCACAGGAGGCAGUGAAGAAACAGGGAGAAACAGACUCAGAGAUGGGAAUUCCCUGGUGGUCCAGUUGGCUAAGACUCCGCACUCCCAAUGCAGAGGACCCAGGUUCGAUCCCUGCUCAGGGAGCCAGAUCCCACAUGCUGCAACUAUGAAGGCCACGUGCUCUAGAGUCCGUGCUCCGCCUGGGUCAGCCACCACAAUUAGAAGCCUGAGCAUCACAGCUGCAGGGUAACUCCCUGCUCUCUGAAACCAGAGAAUGCCUGCAUGCAGCGACAGAAACAAACACAAUAAAAAAUUUUUUAAAUAAAUAAAGAAACAGACCAAGAGACAUCCAGGGAGAAAGUAGUGAGAUCAAGGGGAGGAGACAUUUACAGUGAGAUAGCCGUUGGCAGAGACUGAG
Long non-coding RNA from Dama dama (fallow deer), 1356 nucleotides. RefSeq lists it as uncharacterized. The transcript is spliced from 3 exons. The record is from RefSeq and is a predicted model, not a curated record. Lineage: Eukaryota; Metazoa; Chordata; Mammalia; Artiodactyla; Cervidae.